RNAcentral lists this ribosomal RNA (253 nucleotides) under uncultured bacterium. RNAcentral describes it as "partial 16S ribosomal RNA". It matches the Rfam family "Bacterial small subunit ribosomal RNA", at positions 524 to 776 of the family's 1533-position model. The record is from RNAcentral.
GACGGAGGAUGCAAGUGUUAUCCGGAAUCACUGGGCGUAAAGCGUGUGUAGGUGGUCAAAUAAGUCAACUGUUAAAUCUUGAGGCUCAACCUCAAAAUCGCAGUCGAAACUAUUAGACUAGAGUAUAGUAGGGGUAAAGGGAAUUUCCAGUGGAGCGGUGAAAUGCGUAGAGAUUGGAAAGAACACCGAUGGCGAAGGCACUUUACUGGGCUAUUACUAACACUCAGAGACGAAAGCUAGGGGAGCAAACGGG